UUCUCCUCCACCACCAUCGCCGACAUACGUAUACAAGUCACCACCUCCUCCAUCACCCAAAUACGUGUACAAAUCACCACCUCCUCCAUCACCUAAAUACGUGUACAAGUCGCCACCCCCUCCAUCACCUGAAUAUGUGUACAAGUCCCCACCCCCUCCAACCCCAACUUACGUGUACAAGUCACCACCACCUCCAUCACCUGAAUACGUAUACAAGUCCCCACCACCUCCAUCACCGAAGUACGUGUAUAAAUCCCCCCCACCGCCACCAUACUACUACAAGUCCCCCCCACCUCCAUCACCUGAGUACGUAUACAAGUCUCCCCCACCUCCAUCCCCAAAGUACGUGUACAAGUCCCCGCCCCCUCCAUCACCUGAAUACGGGGACAAGUCCCCACCACCUCCCUCACCCGAAUACGUGUACAAGCCCCCACCCCCUCCAUCACCUGAAUACGGGGACAAGUCCCCACCACCUCCCUCACCCGAAUACGUGUACAAGCCCCCACCCCCUCCAUCACCUGAAUACGGGGACAAGUCCCCACCACCUCCCUCACCCGAAUACGUGUACAAGCCCCCACCCCCUCCAUCACCUGAAUACGGGGACAAGUCCCCACCACCUCCCUCACCCGAAUACGUGUACAAGCCCCCACCCCCUCCAUCACCUGAAUACGGGGACAAGUCCCCACCACCUCCCUCACCCGAAUACGUGUACAAGCCCCCACCCCCUCCAUCACCUGAAUACGGGGACAAGUCCCCACCACCUCCCUCACCCGAAUACGUGUACAAGCCCCCACCCCCUCCAUCACCUGAAUACGGGGACAAGUCCCCACCACCUCCCUCACCCGAAUACGUGUACAAGCCCCCACCCCCUCCAUCACCUGAAUACGGGGACAAGUCCCCACCACCUCCCUCACCCGAAUACGUGUACAAGCCCCCACCCCCUCCAUCACCUGAAUACGGGGACAAGUCCCCACCACCUCCCUCACCCGAAUACGUGUACAAGCCCCCACCCCCUCCAUCACCUGAAUACGGGGACAAGUCCCCACCACCUCCCUCACCCGAAUACGUGUACAAGCCCCCACCCCCUCCAUCACCUGAAUACGGGGACAAGUCCCCACCACCUCCCUCACCCGAAUACGUGUACAAGCCCCCACCCCCUCCAUCACCUGAAUACGGGGACAAGUCCCCACCACCUCCCUCACCCGAAUACGUGUACAAGCCCCCACCCCCUCCAUCACCUGAAUACGGGGACAAGUCCCCACCACCUCCCUCACCCGAAUACGUGUACAAGCCCCCACCCCCUCCAUCACCUGAAUACGUAUACAAGUCUCCACCACCUCCAUCACCGAAGUACGUGUAUAAAUCCCCACCACCGCCAC
RNAcentral lists this long non-coding RNA (1379 nucleotides) under Capsicum annuum. RNAcentral describes it as "long non-coding RNA (CANN_LNC005796)". The record is from RNAcentral. Lineage: Eukaryota; Viridiplantae; Streptophyta; Magnoliopsida; Solanales; Solanaceae.